RNAcentral lists this long non-coding RNA (535 nucleotides) under Gossypium raimondii (Peruvian cotton). RNAcentral describes it as "long non-coding RNA (GRAI_LNC003969)". The record is from RNAcentral. Lineage: Eukaryota; Viridiplantae; Streptophyta; Magnoliopsida; Malvales; Malvaceae.
AAGAAAAAAGAAAGAAAAAAGAAAAGGAAAAAAUGAAAGAAAAAUAAACACAGUUGGGUCAACCGGACCCGACCCGCGCAACCCGAAUCCGACCCAAGCAGGCCACCAGCAACAGGCCAUCAGUUGCAGGCCCAAUCCCUACAAUAGGCCCACAGACAACACUCCAGGCCCGUUCCAGCACCGGCAGGCCCCCAGGCCCAAGCAGCAGGCUUGCCAGCAAAAAAAAUUGAAGAAGAAAAAGAGAAAAAAAUUUAAAAAGUAGGCAUUGGCAGCAGGCCAUCCAGCAGCCCCAGCAGCCAAGCCCACUGCAGCAGGUCAGGCAGCAGCCCAACGCAGCAAGCUAGGCCCAAUUCAGUAGGCCUAGCAGGCCAGGCAGUCAGCAGGCCAACAAGCAGCAGCCCAACAAGCUCCCAGCCCAGUAUGCAGCAGCCCAACAGCAGAAAAAAAGGGAAAAAAAGAAAAAAAAGAGCCCGGGUCGCAUAUCCCGUUCUUCAAGUCCGUAAUUUUGGGGCUUUUUGGUAAUUUUUCAACCCAC